AGGGAGGGAGGGAGAGAGAGAGGGAAAUGUCACCCGGAGCCCGGGCCCGCGGGGGAGAGGUGGCGCGUUAGAGAUGUGUGUGGGAGAGAGGGAGAGAGAGAGAGAGGGGGAGCGAGACCUCCGCUGGCCCCGCGAACUUGUCAAGUGCUACAGUACAAAACACGAAGCUUUUGAGCUCAAAAAGCCUAGACCAUCAUGGCUACGAAAAUUACUGCUGCUCAGAGAGUGUGUAAUUCUGGAGCUCCUUAAGGAAAAAAGUAGUGCCAUGCAACAUCAGAACAGUGGCUAAGUGAUCUUCUGCACAGCAGCCAUGAACUUCAACCUUGAACCGAAGAACUCAUCAAAUGCCUUAGGAAAGACAGGAUGGAGUUGGAAGAGAAGAAUGGAUCUCCAUGACGGGCAGUCAGUUAUAGUCAUGGUCAGCAUGCUUGGUUGGUCUGCCAGUCUACACAUGUAGUUCAGACCUGCCCACAAUGUGAGCUGCCUCCUGUUCUCCUAAACAUCAGAAGCUGAAAUUUAGAGAAAUCUGUUUAGAAGGGAAUGGGAAAACAGCCAGGCUAGCUUCGGCACAAGAGUGUUGGUGGCACCUGUAAGCAUGCAGGUGUGUGGAGGAACAGGUCCUGUUCUCGCUGUUGUUACUCCCACAUAGGCAGACUCUGUAAUUGAUUAUGUGUGGGUAGGGCCCUAUUGAAAUUCAGGAGAUUCUGCAGUAGUGCGGGGUUCUUUUUGUGAAAGUUCAGUUGCAAGAUCAGGACCCUACUGUGACUCCUUACUGUGCAUUCUGUCACUGUCUCAUUGAUUGUACUGGAACCUGCUUAUUGAGAUAAUUACCAAAUAUUAUAUUCCUCAAAACUUCUUAAUGGCUCUGAGGCUUUGUGGAUAGUUGGUCACAUGAUGAGAAAAUUCAGCUACUGCUGGAGUUCAUGAUUCCUGAGAAGUAACACCUUGAAGUUCUGGCACUGUCUUCUACAAACUAACUUACCCUGAGCUGGCUUCCUGUUACUGUGUCAAUGAAACAUCAAAUGUUGAUACUAUGUGUGAAACAACAUUUGAUAUUAUGGCUGUUAAGCUACUUGAAAAAAAUACUAUACAGAUGGAUUUUGUGUUUACAAGACCUGGCAUUUAAAAGUCUGUGUCAUGGAUGCAGAUCAUCAGUAAGGAUAAAGCAUUUAUCUUGCUAUUAUUCUGCUUGCACUGCUUGAUUUUCGGGUCAGGAAGCUAAUUUCAGCAUUGCCAAUGCCCUUUUUUCUUGAAUUCUAAUUCUCUCUAGGACACGCUCUUCAGGUCUACUUUGCCUGUAGUGCUGAGCUAUUGUGAUAGUUUGAUUUUUAUGAUUUGCAUCAAGUGUGAAGCUUUCAAAGCCAUGUGUCAAAGGUCAGGUGAGUGGCUCAGCAAUGUGUGACACUACAAAAGCUGCAUUACAUCAGAGAUCUCUCACUGCACCUGCAAAUGUACACUUUCUAGAAAAUAACCCUGGACAAGAAUAUCCUACUUCUAAUGAACAGAUUUCAGCUCUUCUGCUCUAGUGGCCUGCACUACCCUACCCUGCCCUGCACUGCACUGAGCUCCAUUUUGUAAUUGGCAGGAGAUAUUUGACUAACCUGCUUUCCAAGACCCCCAAGGAUGGAGAUUGCAGAACGUCUCAAGGACCCAGUUCACCACCAGAAGGAUCAAAAUGCUGAUCUUUGUGAGCGUACUGCUGUAACCAGACAAAACUCUUCUACAAAUCUGUGAUGUUCUUUGGUCUUAAACAGCCUUUGUUGUUCAGAAUCAAUUCUAAAAAAAUGUAGCACCAACUUCAGGCUCAUUCAAAGUGAUUUAGCAGACUUCAUCAGAAGCACAUGUGAUGCUGCUGUCAGACCCAUCAGCCCCUCCCAUGGCAUGUACAACUGGAGCACAAGGCAGUGCCACAGCCUCUGCUGGCAGAGGUGCAGUAGCUGAGGGCUGGAGAGACGCUGUGCAGUCAUUGAUACUCAUGUUCAUGAAGUGUUCCAUAUGGUAGCCCAAUGGCUUGAGGGACACCAAUUCUUCAGUCUUUGCAACAAUGACUGGCUUUCAUUUACUGGUGUGACAGCACUUCUAAUGAAACACCCAGAAAGAGCUUCACAGGUGCCAGAACUUGAAGGAACAGGGGUUGCUUCUGUCACUGUUCUUUGAUGGAUUCUUUGUGUACAGCUGCCAGCACUGGCCCUUCUGUUCCAGGGGAGGAAGGUUUGUCCUGUGGACUGGGAGGUGCUGAAUAACAUGGUGGUGUCUGUUUAUGUGCUUGUGGGGUAGAGAGCAGAGCAGAGCAGGUAAUGCACACACCUCACUGGGGCACAUAACGACAUUAGAAACACUUGAAUUCUUAUGCAGAAGAGAUUUCCAUUUAGAAUGGGUCUUAGCUGCAUAAAGCAUCCUGAAAUAUCAUAUCUACUACAAGGUUAAUGAUGCUCUAUAUUAUUCCUUAAAAAACACUUGAUGUGAAACACUGCCCUGUGUCUUUGCCAGAUAUUCUCAUUGUUAUUAUUAUAAACAGCAAAGAAUGUAUGUUUGAUAACAUUUUUACUAUGGCUUUUUUUUUUUUCAUAGGAAUUAGAUCUCAUUAGAAAUCAGAAGCAAGAUUUAUUUUGUGUACUGAUAAAUUAUUAAACCCAGUAAUACAAGCAAGAUUACAUACCAACCCACAGAAAUCCUUCAGAGUUGUUUUUUUAAACCUGUGUCAAUGAACAGUUUAUUCUGAAGCAUUUCAAAUGUGUAUGCAUAUGCAUUAUAUACAUAUAUAUUAUAUAUAUAUAUUUAUAUAUAUAUAUGUAGUGACAAAGCGAGUAGUUUAAUACAUUUUAUGGCUCCAGCCUGGAGUUCUGCAUACAGGAACCUGUGUGUGGUCAAGGAGACUUGCAUACUUUUGAACUCUAAGUUGGCCUAAUAAAAGAUAUCAUACUACAGUGCUUGCUUUGUCAAUCCUGUUUUGCUGGCUCAAAAUGACUUGCAAGAUUAAUUUUCAAUUUUUAACAUAAAACCCAAGAAAAAGAAGUGUUUACUUACUGCAAGGAGUUGAUUCCCUGUUAAUGACCCUGAAGGAGGCUUGUAUACAAGGUACAGAUUGUUGCCAAUUUGAUGUAUAUUCAUGUUACAUAAUAUAAAAAUGAGAAGUUAUACCAUCUUGAGGGCUUUGUUUUUAUAAGUUAAAAAAGCUUUUAAGUAAUCAUACUGUGUGUUUGAUGGUGGAAAUUAGUAUGAAUGUUUCUGGCAGUGGAAUGAUGUGAUGUGGUUAUGCAUUUCUGUUUUCACUGCCUGCUCAAUAUUGGUCUUUUACAAAUACAGAUUACCAUGUCGAUGGAAGGAAUUUACAGCUUUGGCCCCCUUGUCUCACUCUGUGUUACAGCACCCUUUUUUUGUACUAUGUUACAUAUCCUCCCAACUGCAUUUUUGUGACAGAAAAAGGAAAUGUCUCUGGACUGAGAUCCUGAAAAUGUGUGAGCUUUACUAUUUAAUUGAAUGAAAUGAGUAUUAUUUCCCAUUAAGCUUGAUUUCCUGUGGGGUGAAAUCUUGCUUCUCUGAAAUCAGUAGCAAACACACUGCUGUGUAUGAGAGGAUGGAGAGUCCAUCAGUGAUCCCUUACCAGCUAGUGACAUUGCAUCCUGGAAGCUCAGAAAAAAACAACCCUUAACAAUAAGAAUGAUAGAAAGAAUACUCUUUCAAAAGUCAAAAUUUAGGGCUCUCAAAUAAACCCCAAGCUGAAUACAAAAACAGUAUAUAUGACGCAUUUAACACUGCUGGUUUUGGGGCCUCACUGCAUCCCAUACUUACCUCAUCUUGUGGGCAAGGAGCUGCUUGCUCUGACUUCAUGGAAUUGCAGCUGUAUUUGUGGAGUGCUCUCGUCCUUUGGCACUGCCUACCCAGUACAUUAAUACAGUUUAAAUGCACCAGCAUUUUCUCUGGAAGCAAACUUCAAAAUUUGUCUUUAAUCCUGAUGCAAUGCAUAUUCAGAUUUUUUUUAUUUUCCUGGAUUUUAGUUCCAGAGGAAAACAUACUUGACUGCUGCUCCCACCAGCCAGCUGUGGUUUAUGAUGACAAUAAUUAACAGCAAGAUACUGCAGCACAAAAAUGGGGAGCAGAGAAAUGCAGUCCAGCAGCUUCAGAGAUAUGAUUUUUUUAACUACUAAGGAUUCCAAAGUGCUUAACAAACAAUAUUACAGGCAUGGUGGGCAGCUCUGGCCAUUGUGAAGGUCUUCUAGUGCUUCCUAUUUCAAUAGUUUGUUUAUUUUAUUUUAUUUUAUUUUAUUUUAUUUUAUUUUAUUUUAUUUUAUUUUAUUUUAUUUUAUUUUAUUUUAUUUUAUUUUAUUUUAUUUUAUUUUAUUUUAUUUUAUUUUAUUUUCCCAGGGUUCUGCCAAUGUGGAUAUAUUUAGACUAAAUUUAUUUUUAUCCAAUGCCAGUCUCCACGCUUUAAGUUUUUGAAUUGAGAAGUGGUUGAAGUAUUAAUAAGAAGAAGGUUAGAUUUUUGCUUUUUUAAAAAAAUAAUAUCUGCUCCCUGUGUUUUUGAGCAAACACAGGCCUUUCUCUGCCUUUGAAUCAGGUAUGAGCCUUUUGCCGUCCUCACAAAGCCUUUCAAGUUUGGUCGACUGUUUCAAGACAUGGAAAAAACCACAGUUACCAAAUAUCCCAUAGAGGUUUACUAAAGCCUAACAGCAAAUAUUUCCAGAGAUUUCAUCUUCUCCGCCUCGCACAGCUCCUUCCCACGAUCAGACUUUCCAUACACCGUCCUCACAGGAUGACUGAACUCACUGCCUGGGGGCACCAGAGGCCAAAACUGAGGCAACCUCUGUUGUGCUGUCCCUGGGCGUUACUUUGAGCUGCAAUGAUGCUCUGCAGUGGAUCUGGGAGUAGGGAGCCAGUCCCUCCUGAGCUGGAAUGCAUCUUAGGGCUCCCAAAUUUCGGUUUGUAUGCUGUUGGCAAGCCUCCAGCAUAGCUUCUCUUUGCUGAUAGUCUGUACGCACACAGAGGGUUGGACAACCUCAACAAGACCCUGGACAACCACAUCUAAUGGUGAAAUGAGUUCUGCUUGGAGCAGGGGGUGGGAAUAGACAACAUCCUCAGAGUCCUUCCCAGUCUGAGUGAGUCCAUGGUCCUCUGACUCUUUACUGACCAUUUCUCCACUAGUGUGUGUAGGCCUAAAGGCAGCAUCCUAGUUGAUGGGUUUCUGUAGGUAUGAUGCACAUAGUGGAAAUACUAUUUUUUACUUUAUUUUAAAAACAAGGGUAUUCAAAACACCUCAUUAAGAUAAUAUUCAAGAUGCAUGGACUGGUAUCUUAAAAUUAAGAUUAAAAAAAUGAAUCUCUGCAACCUCAGUAUGCUUCUAACAUGUGUUUGUGUGGAAACACUGACUCUAGUUUUGUGAUUGCGCUGUGUUUUCACUCACAUGGCUUCAUCUCUGUAUCUAGCGUGGAUCUGCUCUGGAGAUGAAGCAGCACCAAGGAAGAUUGGUGGAUGCAGAACUCUAGCUCACUUGUUGAGAAGGUGCAAGGACCUGGAACAAGAUGACUGUGCAAAUGUCAUCCAGCAAUCACAACUCUUUCUUUGGUAAUGUCAUCUAUGAUGUUCCAUCUAAUGAAGCCUUCAUCAAGUCAGAUGCAUUUGUGAAGUACAGCGCGGUUCGUUCUUGAAUUAAACAGUUCAGUGUUUGGACCUAAUCCCGAGCCAUGUUGAUAUUUUAGGUUGUGUUUUCCUUCUUGAAUGAUUGCAGACUACUCAUUUUCUCCAGGGCUCUCAGAGGUGACAAGAAUGGACUCCCAAGGCAUGGCUGCAAUGGUUGUUUGAAACAAGAAACAGAUACCUUCUUGCUGUCAUUCAUCUCUGGUCACUGGCAAUCGGAGCUUGAAGGAAGGUGAAAGAAAACUCCUACAGAGAACUGGGAAUAAUUUGUCUUGUAAGAGGAGUAUAAUGGCCUUUUUAAAGCUUUUACCAAAUAUCAGGACAUGUGAUAAGAAUUUAUGAAUUGGGAAUUAAUUGAAAGAUUGUGAAAUGGGAAAGAAUUCACAUUAUGGGAAGUGUUGGAGAACUACAACCUAAGCACUCUGAUAUUUGUGACCAAGCCUGCAGAAUAUCUAGAGGUGAUGGAACUACCUCAGAUGACUGUUGUUUUAAAAUAUAAUUUGCAAGCCCCUGCACCCUUCCCCAGACAGACUGGGAAAAUACAUUCCUUUUAUUAAUAUUACUCCAGGGGACUGGAGGGUAUUCUGAGCAGUGAAACAUACAGUUUAUGUGACUUGCUACAGAAUUCAGAUUUAAAAAAAAAGACGGUGCUAAUUUGUACCUGGGAGUUGGUAUCUGUAUUAAAAAAAUUCUGUUCUAAAGAUAACUUCUUUACAUUUUCCUAUGUAUUAAAUAACACAUCUAUAUGAUAAAACAUGAAAUGUGUAAUUAAAACAAUGGCUAUAAGUAUAGAAUUGUGUAAAUGCUACCUAAAUCAUAUGUGUAAACAUUAAAUAAACAGUUUCAUUUCUAAAGGUUACAGAAAACACA
Molecule: RNA transcript, 6504 nt
Organism: Passer domesticus (house sparrow)
Lineage: Eukaryota; Metazoa; Chordata; Aves; Passeriformes; Passeridae
Exons: 17
Source: RefSeq, a predicted model, not a curated record